UUGUGGGACAGUGCCUGUCAUUGUGGGACAGUGACGACAUCCUGGUGUUCAGAGUGGAAUAGUGUGUACAUUUGCUGCUGGGUCGGGUCAACGAUGCUGAGGAUGUGGGGGACAAGCAUGACGCAGAAGGAGAGCACCAGCAUUAAUAUCGAGUUGGCCAAGCAACAGCACCAGUCUGGCCUGCAGGAGCCCCAAUACAGAACCAUCCUUUCCCUCCCCUGAUCCCUAGCUCCUCCCACUGGACCUCCGGCCUCAAAGGGUCAGCAUCGUUACACAAGUCUGUGCAAUAAAUCCUCAGCACGUCAAGUUUUCACGCGCUGUUAUGAACAACCGAAAUAUCCGUGUCGAGAUUUCCCCAAGCAAGCCCGAGUAGUUUUGUUUAGCUCUAGUGCCAGAGUGGGAUGAGUGUUACAGAAGCGAGACGUUAUAGCAGUACUUAUGGUAACGCAAACAGUUAACGCUAACAGUUAGUUCCUGCUGUGGACAUCACGAAGAAUCUCACGAAGGAUUAAACGUUGAAUAGUUUGUUUAAUUCUUUAUAAGACAGCUAUAUAUUCAGCAAGGAACGAGAGAAAAAAAGGAACAAUUGAAAUGAUUCAUUCAGAAGUAUAUCUGCUGUAGAUAGUUAGGACAGUAGUAGCGUUACAGACUGUCCUCAGCGCACAAUAUAUUCAUGUGGUGCACCACAGACGCAAAUUCCCCCAUUAUUGAAAACAAGUUGCUAAAAGUAAACACGUCCGGUUAUGUACUCCGAGCCCAAAGGGCAUUGCAUUGAAUUGGGACUAAAGAAGGCUAAAAAACAUGACACCAGUUUUGUUGUAUGCUCCAGUACACCCUUCAACUCUCAGUCCGAAGUUAAUCAGAACUCAAACUCGGCCCUUAACAAUAUAUGGCCAGCAUAUCAGCUCAGCUUCUGAGCUUCAGCAACUGCUAAGCUCAUAAGACCAAGGAGUAGUGAAAGGCUCAGCCAAAUCAAAGUCCAGCGAUGUGAGGGUGAGACAGCCUUCCCAUGUCCUCGUAUUGCAACAUGAAGGACAUUUUAGCUGAAACUAACAAGGGAGAGAACUGUAGAUCUGCACCAGCACAGAGCACCAGCAUUGAUAUCGAGUUGGCCCAGCAACCGCACGAGUCCCGCCUGCAGGAGCCCCAGUCCAGAGCAACCCUUCCCCUCCCCUGACUUCUAACUCCUUCCCCUUGACCUCCUGACUGAAAAAGUCAGCAUCGUUGAACAACUCCGUUCUGCAGGAAAUUCUGAGCAUGAUUCUGGUAAAACGUCGAGUUGUCCACACAUAAGCCUGGGUAGUUUUGUUAAGCUAGAGUUCCGCGUGGGCCUGAGAGGGACGAGUUUUUCAGACACGAAAAGUUAUAGCAGUAGUUAUGGUAACGCUAACAGUCAGUUGUUGCUGUUGGACAUCACAACAAAUAUCCUGAAGAACAAAAAGUUCAAUAACUUGUUCCAAUCUUUAUGGGACAAACAGAAAUUGAACGGGAGAAAAUCAAGGAACAAUAAAAGCAUAAGCUUUCCUAGUGGGAUGCUUCUGCUGUUGAUAGUUUAGACGACAGUAGGGUUACGGACUGCCCCAGAUUGUCCAUUCAGCGGCCAAAAUAUCAUAAUAGAACGGACUUUUGGCAAUAUUACCGACAAAGAAAGGCAGUAAUGACUUGGUUGUGAAUACCCAGAGCACGAUACAUCCAUGCUGACACAAAAAGGCAGUAAUGACUUAGUGGUGAAAACCUAGAGCACGCUACAUCCUUGCUAACAAAGAAAUGCAGUAAUGACUUAGUUGUGAAUACCCAGAGCAUGCUACAUCCAUGCUGACACAGAAAGGCAGUAAUGACUAUUCUGUGAACACCCAGAGCAUGCUACAUCCAUGCUGACACAGAAAGGCAGUAAUGACUAUGCUGUGAACACCCAGAGCAUGCUACAUCCAUGUGGAAACAGAAAGGCAGUCACGACUAUGCUGUGAACACCCAGAGCACAAUAUAUCCAUGCUGACACAGAAAGGCAGUAAUGACUAUGCAGUGAACACCCAGAGCAAGAUAUAUCCAUGCUGACACAGAAAAGCAGUAAUGACUAUGCUGUGAACACCCAGAGCACAAUACAUCAUUUGCUGACACAGAAAGGCAGUAAUGACUUGGCUCUGAACACAGAGCACAAUACAUCCAUGCUGACACAGAAAGGCAGUAAUGACUUGGCUGUGAACACAGAGCAACAUACAUCCGUGCUGACACAGAAAGGCAGUAAUGACUUGGCUGUGAACACAGAGCUUAAUAUAUCCAUGCUGACACAGAAAGGCAGUAAUGACUUGACUGUGAACACAGAGCACAAUACAUCCAUGCUGACACAGAAAGGCAAUUAUGACUUGGUUGUGAACACAGAGCACAAUACAUCCUUGUUGACACAGAAAAGCAGUAAUGACUUUGCUGUGAACUCAGAGCACGAUACAUCCAUGCUGACACAGAAAGGCAGUAAUGACUUGGAUGUAAACACCCAGAGCGAAAUACAUCCAUACUGACACAGAUUGACAGUAAAGACUUGGUUGUAAACACCCAGAGCACAAUACAUCCAUGAUGACACAGAAAGGCAGUAAAGACCUUGUUGUAAACACUAAGAGAUCCAUACAUACAUGGGGUGUGCCACAGCCGCAAAUUACGCCCACUAUUGUGAACAAGGUGCUUAAAGUGAACAUGUCUGGGUUUGGUAUGAGGACUUAGCACUCCAAGCCCAGAAGGCCUCGCAUUGAAUUGAUGCAAGAGAAGGCUUUGAAAAAUGUUAGCAGUUUUGUUGUGUGGUCCAGUACGCCCUUCGACUCUCAACCUGAAGAAAGCAGAACUCAAACUCGGCUCUUAGCAAUAUCAACAAGGCCAGCAUGUCAUCUCCGCUUCUUGAGCUUCAGUGAACUUUACUAGCAAACAUGACAAACGUCAUUGAAAUGAAAGUCGAUGACAACCCCCUUCUUGCACAAAUACUACAACUUGCUUAAGAAAAUCAGCAUGAAGACGUCUUGCGUCAGACUACCAAGCCUCCUAUCAAUAUAUCCUCCCAUGUUGGCUACAUCAACACUUCCAACAGCAGAGCCUUGGUGAGUUUGACUUCCGUCUCAGCAUCCAUGUCGCUUAGCAACAAUUGAAUGAUGGGCGUCGACAAAUUAGGCCGGACAAGUCGCUCAAACUGAAACGAUCUGAUCCAACAGGUAGAGCAAGCGUUGCAUGACACGUCCAUUAAUGUGACUGACCUCGAUAUGUUGUUCUCGAAUAAUGUGAACCUUAGGCCUGGAGAGCAGUAUGCGAUUGACGCCAUUCAACAACAGUUGUUAUUGGCAAUUCUCAGGUUUGGGGUGGCGACUUCAGCGUCAGGACUUGCUCCAUCUCUGUCUAUGGCCCAGUCCCAGCAGCAGCAGCAGCAGCAGCAGCAACAAGAACAAUAAGUAGUAUCUGAGCAGUGUUCUGGGAUAUGGGGCUUCAUGUAUGUGCUUAAAUUGUCAUCCCAGAUGAGCCUGUGCAGACUGCACAUACAUUAAGUCCUAUUAAAGUGUCAUCCCAGACUAGCCUGUGCAGAUUGCACAUACAUUAAGUACUAUUAAAUUGUCAUCCCAGAUUAGCCUGUGCAGACUGCACAUACAUUAAGCCCUAUUAAAGUGUCAUCUCAUAUUAGCCUGUGCAGACUGCACAUACAUUAAGUCCUAUUAAAAUGUCAUCCCAUAUUAGCCUGUGCAGACUGCACAUACAUUAAGUCCUAUUAAAUUGUCAUCCCAGAUAAGCCUGUGCAGACUGCACAUACAUUAAGUCCUAUUAAAGUGUCAUCCCAGAUAAGCCUGUGCAGACUGCACAUACAUCAAGUCCUAUUAAAAUGUCAUCCCAUAUUAGCCGGUGCAGACUGCACAUACAUUAAGUCCUAUUAAAGUGUCAUCCCUGAUUAGCCUGUGAAGACUGCACAUACAUUAAGUCCUAUUUAUCCGAGAAUGAGGCUCAUAUAGUUCACUUAACGUCAGUCCUUUUUCUACCUGAUUGAGGAAAAGUUCCUAGCAUAAAAUGUGAAUUCUAUGAUUUAUCAAACUUGGUAAAUAAAUAGCAAAUAAAAGUUAAUCUGAUAUCAGUUUUAAUCAAAGGUCAGGGCAUAGUUUUGUAUAUUUUUCUGCUGAAAUUUAGCCCUUGAACAACAGUUUCUCCUUGCAAUAAAAAAAUCUAAUUUAAUUAUUAAAUUCUAUUUAAUUUAAGUAAAACAAUUAUUUAAUCCCUUCAGCACAUUAUACAAUUAUUAUCUUCAUUUAUUUUCAAUAUUUAUUUAAAUUGCCGAAUUUUGUUUUAAGAGCUAGUUCCUAGCAAUCAAUAGAUCGGUACUCUGCUGAAAAACAGGAUCUCUGGUCAGCUGGGCCCAGACGCCCAGCAACACUUCCUGGCCCAGGACCUUGGGGCAAAUGCUCAACAUGUUCUAUCUGCAUGGUGAAGCCUGUCUAAACCUUGGGCUCCAAACUUUCCUGCUGUGGGGCCGAAAUUACCUCAUCCAUAAGGGACACAUUUCUGGGAUGCGCUAAGGUCCUUUUAUCUGUUCACAGAGGCCUUAUACUCACAAGUUCAGGCCCAGAGAACGGUGUUCCCCAACUACAACACAACCAGUACGUCUCAAUAGAGGACACCCUUCCUGAAAACCUCGCUGAGUGCGACUGCGCCAUACGUGACCCUUAAGUGAAAUGAGAUUCCAGGCUGAAUGUCAAACCGGUACUACUCAGGUCUUCAGCAAUAGCCUCAGCCUUGGACGCAGGUUCAUGAUGCACCCGUGGCCUUACUUAUUUCUGAACAUCUCAAUCUCACAGCAAUUGAUGUGAAUUAAUGAUAAUAAGACUCCACAAACCACGUUUUGUAGAGGGUAUAUUGGAGUCAAUUUUCUGUUAGUUGUUUAGUCAAUGCGGCAUUUUUUGCAUAUAUUAUAAAAAGAUUUGUAUCAAAUCUAAAUUUCUCAAAGGAUUAAAUUGGAACUUAAAUUGUGUGAAACCAUUGAACAGUAAGUGAUAAGUGGUGAUUUUUUUUGCAUGCAAAGCCCCAUCGUUUCAUUGGCCAAGUCACUCUUUUACCCAGUAUUAUUUUACUUUCAGUAUCUCACCAUACAUGGGAAAUCAGAAGAUAUGAAACUUAUAUUCUAAUCAGGGUUUUAACUAACAUUUUGCCCACAUUUGCGCUGUAACCUAUAUGCAAUUCUGGGUUAUAACUAACAUUGUGUCCACAGUUGCGCAAAGUUGUUUGAAUAGUAGUGUCUAAAAACAAAUAAAGCAUAGUCACUUGCAUCCCUUGUAAUCAAUCAUGUUCAUGAAGGAGCCAUUGUGAAAUAUUAUGUUGCAUUUUGACAAAUUGCCAAGCAUAUGUCUUUUAGCUUAUCUUGUUAAGUGUUUUGCAGUACCAAGCCACGUCGACGCAGCAGCAAAAACAACAGUAGCAGUCUAGUUAAGGGUCACCCCGCAAUGUUCAGUGCCUAGCGAUGAAAUCAUCCACCAUUACAUGUAGUUGGUUGAGGGUGGCCCAAAACCACCCGGUGCCUUGCGAUGAAAACCUCCAACGGGACUGUAACCUUGCCCUUGUACACACCUAAUGGUCAGGUAUAAGGUCACUUGGGCUUAGAUAGUCACUGCAGUAAGAACAUGUAAGGUUUAAAAGGACAUCCGAGACUGCAAUGACGAAAUGAGUGUCCUCACUUCAGCAGUGGAGGCCAAUACACAAUACGAGAGUUUCCAGCGGCUUACCUUAUCUGAAAACCUGGGUAGCAGAGCAAUGAGUAUAUCCCAGGAGCAUUUGCAGUCAUCGUCUCCAGAUUAUGAGAUCCCCAUGCUCCACAACCCUCAUUCUAUGAACAUCAUGCAGAGCGAACCUUGGACGUACCUUGACGAAAUCAAACCAGCAAAUCAGAAGGACAGCCUGCUGCUACCGUUGUUAUCAUAUUAACCCCAUACCGAAAAAGCUCAGAGAUAUAAAGGCUGUUUAAGAUGUGCUUGUCUCUACAUACCCCGUGUCUGGUGUGAACAUGUACAAUUGAAUGUCUCUACAUACUCCAUGUCUGCUGUGAACAUGUACAAUUGAAGGUCUCUACAUACUCCAUGUCUGGUGUGAACAUGUACAAUUGAAGAUCUCUACAUACUCCAUGUCUGGUGUGAACAUGUACAAUUGAAGGUCUCUACAUACUCCAUGUCUGGUGUGAACAUGUACAAUUGAAGAUCUCUACAUACUCCAUGUCUGGUGUGAACAUGUACAAUUGAAGAUCUCUACAUACUCCAUGUCUGGUGUGAACAUGUACAAUUGAAGGUCUCUACAUACCUCAUGUCUGGUGUGAACAUGUACAAUUGAAGGUCUCUACAUACUCCAUGUCUGGUGUGAACAUGUACAAUUGAAGGUCUCUACAUACCUCAUGUCUGGUGUGAACAUGUACAAUUGAAGGUCUCUACAUACCCCAUGUCAGGUGUGAACAUGUACAAUUGAAGGUCUCUACAUACCCCAUGUCUGGUGUGAACAUGUACAAUUGAAGGUCUCUACAUACCUCAUGUCUGGUGUGAACAUGUACAAUUGAAGGUCUCUACAUACCCCGUGUCUGGUGUGAACAUGUACAAUUGAAGGUCUCUACAUACCCCAUGUCUGAUGUGAACAUGUACAAUUGAAGGUCUCUGCAUACUCCAUGUCUGGUGUGAACAUGUACAAUUGAAAGUCUCUACAUACCCCAUGUCUGGUGUGAACAUGUACAAUUGAAGGUCUCUACAUACUCCAUGUCUGGUGUGAACAUGUACAAUUGAAGGUCUCUGCAUACCCCAUGUCUGGUGUGAACAUGUACAAUUGAAGGUCUCUACAUACCUCAUGUCUGGUGUGAACAUGUACAAUUGAAGGUCUCUGCAUACCUCAUGUCUGGUGUGAACAUGUACAAUUGAAGGUCUCUACAUACCUCAUGUCUGGUGUGAACAUGUACAAUUGAAGGUCUCUGCAUACCUCAUGUCUGGUGUGAACAUGUACAAUUGAAGGUCUCUACAUACCUCAUGUCUGGUGUGAACAUGUACAAUUGAAGGUCUCUACAUACCUCAUGUCUGGUGUGAACAUAUACAAUUGAAGGUCUCUACAUACUCCAUGUCUAGUGUGAACAUGUACAAUUGCAGGUCUCUACAUACCCCAUGUCUGGUGUGAACAUGUACAAUUGAAUGUCUCAUCUUUGGAAUUGGGACACGUGGAAAAUUAGUGAUUUGAUUCAGACAGAAAUCGCAUAGUGACAAAUCACAACAAAAAAUGGAAAGCAAGAAAGUCUUGUGGCCAGCAAUGUUUUUAAGUGACCACUAAGUUGUGUUCAAAGAAAAACAAUCGUUCAUGUUUUAUUGGAACUAUGAUGCUGUCAGUCAUUUUAUGUUGAAGGCUUUAAAUAACUAUAUUUAAAUAUAAUAAGAUUAAGAUUACUUGAUAAAAGAAAUAAUGUUAUAUAGUAUUUUAAGCGCAAAAUUUACAAGUCUAUCCAAUUACUGUGUCUGUUUUAUGACAUUUUAUUUUGGAAAUGUUAAGGAAAAUAUAAUGUUAGUAAAUAUAUGUCUAUGAAUGUUGAUUUUGACAUUUGUCAAAGCUGUUUAAAUGAUGCUGGUAACUUCGACAAAAUUUAAAGAAAUGUAUUAUUUUCAUGUAAUGAGACAUGCUUCAGUUUUUUGUGGCUUAACCUGUAAUAUAGAGGUGGUAGUUACAAGAAUUGUUAAGCCAGAUGGAGAAUGUUUAUGCUAUGGCUUUGAUACUCUUAAGUGUGCCCAUUGGUGUCAGGUUUUUAUCAAGAAUAUUGUUUAUUGUCUAACAAUUUCUUGAAAAUAUUGAUUAAUUUUAGACAAAAUCAUUUAAUCUUCCUUAAAUUGUCUAUUCUGUAUUCACGACCAGUUAUUUAUUAAUUUGCAUGAAUAUGAUUUAUGAAUGACUUUUGUGUUGCUUAAAAUGCUUUAUUUGUUUUGGAACUGAGUAUUUAAAAACGAAAAUAUGAGGUGUAGGAAAAAUGGCCAAAGUUAUGAUAAUUAUUUUUUUGUUUUUGUAAAGUUUAUUAUGCUUUAUAUGUUUGUGUAUAGGCAUUUAGACGACCAGAUUAACUUGACCAAUAAUUCGUGCUCACUGUAUAUAUCGGUCAGUACAUUAGUCACUUGUAUAUAUAGCGAUUGUGAAAUGAUUGUAUUUGCAAUGUAAAUCAUGCGUUUAUUGUUGCCAUUUUGAUUUUCGCUGUUAACAUUUAUUUGUUAUAACAAUUUUCAUCAUGUACAUCUUUUAGGUGCCAGAUAAUAUAAAAAAACAUUGCUUGUGGAGAUGCUCAUUAAAAACUUUCUAAAUGAUACAGAACAACACAUUCUGAAGAGGCAAAUAUCCUUUAGACAAUAGGAACAUCUUGUUACUAGUAUGUGUAAUGCCUUUCACUAAAUAAAGUCAAGCAACUAUUGAAAGAUUGGUUUAACUUUGUUUUGCAUUAUCUUAAGAAAAAUUAAUAUAUUCAACUUGGAAAUCAGUCAAUUGGAAAUCAAGCGAGAGUGAUUUAACAUGCUAACACUUGUCAAUAAUUGAAUUGUCUCUCUUUGUAUGUAAGAUAUAGGGAUGUUGUUGCUUGAAAAACAAAGUUGUAUCCGUUGUUAGAUAAUGUUUUUGUUCAUCUCUCAACAUAACAAGUACAUUCAUACAGUUAUUAAAAAUAUGACACUCUUUAUUCUCAGCCAUCAGUUUGUAUUGGGAUUUUGUGGAAUACUUACUAAACUAAUAUACGUCUGUUUAAUGAAUGAAUAGCUAUGGUACAAUAUGAUACUCAGUGUUACAAAACAUGUGUAAUAAAAAUAUAAUGUCAUUUAUUUGAAAUCUUAAAAUUUAGUUGUCCAUACAAUGCUUACAGUUUUGCAAUUGCGAUGAUAAAGGAAAUGUUCUGCUCAAAAUGUCUUUUUAAGACAUGUGAAAAUUGUAGCAAUCAUAUUGUACUUGUAUUUAUAUUAUACAUGAUAAGAAUUUACUUACGGCUGAUGCUAGCGGCUGUUUACUAUUUGUGUUACAGUUUGUUUCACUCGACCAUUAGACCAUAUUUCCUUAAAAAUGUGAUUGUUUAUAUUGAACUUUAAUUGAAUGCAUGAAACAUGAUUGUUCUGUUGCUUAACAGCUGAAAAUAGCUUGAUGUUUGUUCAUUGUGUGAAAUGUUUCAAAUAAAUCAUAUUGAUUACAUAAAAAAAUAAAAUUACAUUUUGCGUUACUUUAAAUGCAUAACAAACAAUUGUUACCAUACACUCAUAUUAGUAUUGAACUUAAUUAAUACUUUAAGAUGCAUUUUUUACAAUAAUGUUUUAAUAUUGUCAUCCAUUCCAAAUAAACAUUGUGCAUUCGUAAAUAUAGGGUGUAUAUACACUGCUUAGAUGCCUUUUUUAAAAUGCUUGUGUACGUCAUAUUGAUUAAAGACUCUUAUGUAUUGCAUAUUUGUGUGUGCCUAUGUCUUACUUAUCUCUUCAUAGUCCUUAAAUUACUGCAAAUAGUAUUUUAAUAAUGUUAAAAUAUUUAUCUAAACUAUAACCAGGUUAUCUGUUAAUUUAGGUUUCAUACAUUGUAUUGUCUAGCUAAUUAAAUUGAAGUGUCUAUAUUCUCGCCAACAUGCAUUGUCGGUGUCUGGUUUAGACAAAGCACAUUACACAACUCCUGUUGUUUUUCUCCAUCAUUAAUAACCAAUGUUUAUUCUGUAGAGGUUGCAUUAUACUAAAUAUUUCAGUUGUGCAAUGCUUUGCUCUCUUAAUAAAUCAGCACUAUUUAUUGAUUUUUUAUAUGGGCACUUCCCAUGACUUUAUACGUGAAUAUUUCUUUGAAUGUGCGGUAGGGAAAACAUUGUUUGCUUGAAGGUUUAGAAACUUAAUGUUGACAUCUUGAAAGAUGGCAGAAAACAUUUAACUGCAGAGUAGCUGUGAAAAGAUGUAUGUUAAACAUAUAAUAAACAAUGUAAGACAGAACUCCACGCAAGAUAUGUCAUGCAUUCGAUAUGCAUGAACUAUCUUUUUUAAUUAAUUUGGAUCGGAAUUAUCUUUUAGAAAUGGUAUGGUUAUGAGGGUCUCUAUGUGCAAAAUGUUGCAUUUAUUUUGUGUACAAGUUAUUGCUUAAACAUUGAAUUUGUUAUGGAAAUAAUAUAGUUUAUGUGCCUUUAAGAGAUAUACAUGUUUAUGUUAGUGAUGUGUUUUUGCUGAUCAAAGUCUGUUCCUGCACACUAUUUAAAGUAGAUAACUACAAGUUAUCACAUUUAAAUGGGAAUAGUAUUGUACUGUGGAAAAGUGUUGCGAGUUCAAAUAAAAAUACUAUGAA
Dreissena polymorpha is the source of this 10299-nucleotide long non-coding RNA. RefSeq lists it as uncharacterized. The transcript is spliced from 16 exons. The record is from RefSeq and is a predicted model, not a curated record. Lineage: Eukaryota; Metazoa; Mollusca; Bivalvia; Myida; Dreissenidae.